UAAAAACACACAAAAAUUUGUAAAUAAGUUAAAAAAUUAAAAUUAAUCUUCGUUUAUAUAUACAUGUGUAUAUAGAUUAAUCUAUGGCGCAGAAGCGGUUUGUGUUGACAGAAAGGCCUUAACUAUCUUUAAAGAUAGUCAAACGUUGUGGCAUAUAUUUGAAACCAGCUAUAUUUUCAAAGAUUGACUAUAUUGAACAGAUUGAACAGAGUAGUGGAUCUGACCCUGUAGGCUUGGCAGGUUUAACUGAUCUUUAGUUAACGACAUAGCUGAUCAUUAGCAUAAUAAUUUGAAGUUAGUGUUGAAGCACUCGCUGUCUCUUUGCAAACUUUUUAAAUGAUGAGCCUCGCGUUCUUCCAUUGCGUAUACAAAAUGUCAAUGUACUUAAAGACUAUUUUUUAAAAACUCAAUUAAUUGAAAUUUAUGUAAUGAAUUAUUUCUCCAAAUACGCAUAAAUUUUGAAGCUUCUCAA
Long non-coding RNA from Ceratitis capitata (Mediterranean fruit fly), 472 nucleotides. RefSeq lists it as uncharacterized. The transcript is spliced from 2 exons. NCBI's taxonomy places the organism in Eukaryota, Metazoa, Arthropoda, Insecta, Diptera, Tephritidae. The record is from RefSeq and is a predicted model, not a curated record.